CAGCCGCCGCGGUAAUCCGUAGGGUGCGAGCGUUAAUCGGAAUUACUGGGCGUAAAGCGUGCGCAGGCGGUUGUGUAAGACAGGUGUGAAAUCCCCGGGCUUAACCUGGGAACUGCGCUUGUGACUGCACAGCUAGAGUAUGGCAGAGGGGGGUGGAAUUCCACGUGUAGCAGUGAAAUGCGUAGAGAUGUGGAGGAACACCGAUGGCGAAGGCAGCCCCCUGGGCCAAUACUGACGCUCAUGCACGAAAGCGUGGGGAGCAAACAGGAUUAGAUACCCGCGUAGUCCCUGUCUCUUAUAC
This 301-nucleotide ribosomal RNA is filed under the name uncultured bacterium. Its description in RNAcentral is "partial 16S ribosomal RNA". It matches the Rfam family "Bacterial small subunit ribosomal RNA", at positions 509 to 807 of the family's 1533-position model. The record is from RNAcentral.